This 428-nucleotide ribosomal RNA is filed under the name Oehlia diaphana. RNAcentral's name for it is "eukaryotic LSU rRNA". It matches the Rfam family "Eukaryotic large subunit ribosomal RNA", at positions 1 to 428 of the family's 3401-position model. The record is from RNAcentral. Lineage: Eukaryota; Fungi; Glomeromycota; Glomeromycetes; Glomerales; Glomeraceae.
GACCUCAAAUCAGGUAAGAAUACCCGCUGAACUUAAGCAUAUCAAUAAGCGGAGGAAAAGAAAAUAACAAUGAUUCCUCUAGUAACUGCGAGUGAAGAGGGAAAAGCUCAAAUUUUGAAUCUGUUAGGUUUACCUAACCGAGUUGUAAUUUGAAGAAGCGUUUUCUGCGAUUUUGGUUAGUCCAGAUCCUUUGGAAUAAGGUAUCAUGGAGGGUGAGAAUCCCGUUCGGUUAACCAAAGCGCUUUACGAUACGCUUUCAAAGAGUCAAGUUGUUUGGGAUUGCAGCUUAAAAUGGGAGGUAAAUUUCUCCUAAGGCUAAAUAUUGGCGAGAGACCGAUAGCGAACAAGUACCGUGAGGGAAAGAUGGAAAGAACUUUGAAAAGAGAGUUAAACAGUACGUGAAAUUGUUGAAAGGGAAACGAUUGAAG